Molecule: long non-coding RNA, 895 nt
Filed under: Homo sapiens (human)
Lineage: Eukaryota; Metazoa; Chordata; Mammalia; Primates; Hominidae
Description: non-protein coding lnc-RCBTB1-3:2
Source: RNAcentral
AGAACCUAGUAUCACACUAGGCUUCUGAAAACACCAAUCAAGAGUUGCUUAAUGCAGGGGUCCCUUACCCCUGGGCUGCAGACCUGUACCUGUCCAUGGCCUGUUAGGAACCGGGCAGCACAGUAGGAGGACUGAGGAGGGAGGAAGUAAAAGGGAGCUGUGACUGUGGUACGUAUCUGAAAGCAAGUGUUAGAGAGGGAGUGGAGAACGCAUAAGCAAGCUGGUUUGACCAGAAACAGAACUGCCUGUGACAGAUUAAGAGACAAGCAAGGCUUGGAAUCUGAGAGCAAGCAAAGAGAGUGGAAAUUUACAGCUGCCCUAUGAGGCAACCUCUAUUAAAUGGACGAUAAAGGCUACUUCAUCUAAAGUGCUUUGAGCUCAAGAAAGAGCUGUCUUCAGCACCUCACCAUGUGUCUACAUUUUGUUGCUUAGAAAAGCCUAGGCAUUUCUGUAACAUUUGCAUUCCAUAUUGGAAGAAGAGAUUUCUACACAUGAAAAAAAUGCCUUUGUUUAGUAAAUCACACAAAAAUCCAGCAGAAAUUGUGAAAAUCCUGAAAGACAAUUUGGCCAUUUUGGAAAAGCAAGACAAAAAGACAGACAAGGUAAGAGCUAAAACAGUAACAUUAUGAUUAAAGUACAUGCAUCGCAAUGCCAAAAACCAAUGUAAAAGCUUAAUGAAGAAUUCAAAAUAUGGUCUGUGAUGUGCACAUAGACCCUCUAUAAAUAGAUUUAAGUUGAUUUCAGGUUUUAUGCAACUGAUUAUUAUUUAGUCUGUUGUGAUGAACUUUAGGUUCACUCUCUAGAGACUCUGACCACACCGGAUCCCUCUAGACUACACAGCUUAAAGAUCUAAAAGGUUAUACUGGUGUGUAAUGUUACAUUUACAUGAAAGGUA